CUGCUAUCGGAUUGAUACUAAGCCAUGCGAGUCAUUGUAGCAAUACAAGGCAGACGGCUCAGUAACGCGUAGUCAACCUACCCUAUGGACGGGAAUAACCUCGGGAAACUGAGUAUAAUGCCCGAUAGAACAUUAUGCCUGGAAUGGUUUAUGUUCCAAAUGAUUUAUCGCCGUAGGAUGGGACUGCGGCCUAUCAGUUUGUUGGUGAGGUAAUGGCCCACCAAGACUAUUACAGGUACGGGCUCUGAGAGGAGUAGCCCGGAGAUGGGUACUGAGACACGGACCCAGGCCCUAUGGGGCGCAGCAGGCGAGAAAACUUUGCAAUGUGCGAAAGCACGACAAGGUUAAUCCGAGUGGUUUCUGCUAAAGGAACCUUUUGUUAGUCCUAAAAACACUAACGAAUAAGGGGUGGGCAAGUUCUGGUGUCAGCCGCCGCGGUAAAACCAGCACCUCAAGUGGUCAGGAUGAUUAUUGGGCCUAAAGCAUCCGUAGCCUGCUCUGUAAGUUUUCGGUUAAAUCUGUAUGCUCAACAUACAGGCCGCCGGAAAUACUGCAGGGCUAGGGAGUGGGAGAGGUAGACGGUACUCGGGAGGAAGGGGUAAAAUCCUUUGAUCUAUUGAUGACCACCUGUGGCGAAGGCGGUCUACCAGAACACGUUCGACGGUGAGGGAUGAAAGCUGGGGGAGCAAACCGGAUUAGAUACCCGGGUAGUCCCAGCUGUAAACGAUGCAGACUCGAUGAUGCAUUGGCAUAAUAGCCAGUGCAGUGUCGCAGGGAAGCCGUUAAGUCUGCCGCCUGGGAAGUACGUACGCAAGUAUGAAACUUA
This 826-nucleotide ribosomal RNA is filed under the name uncultured marine group I thaumarchaeote. RNAcentral's name for it is "SSU rRNA". It matches the Rfam family "Archaeal small subunit ribosomal RNA", at positions 27 to 858 of the family's 1478-position model. The record is from RNAcentral. Lineage: Archaea; Thermoproteati; Nitrososphaerota.